AUGGUGGAGUUGCAGCAACUGCGGAUACAGGAGGCGGUGGACUCAAUGGUGAAGAGUGUGGACACAGAGAAUAUCCAGAAGAUGCAGAGUCUCAUGUUCCAAUGCAGCGCCAGCUGUUGUGAGGACAGCCAGGCAUCCAUGUAGCAGGUGCACCAGUGUAUCAAGCACUGCCAUGUGCCUCUGGCUCAAGCCCAGGCUUUGGUCACCAGUGAGUUGGAGAAGUUCCAGGACCACCUGGUCCAGUGCACCAUGCAUUGCAACAACAAAGCCAAAGAUUCAAUGGAUGCUGGGAGUAAAGAACGUCAGGUGAAGCAGCAGCUGGACGGUUGUGUGACCAAGUAUGUGGAUGACCACAUGCACCUCAUCCCAACUAUGACCAAGAAGAUGAAUGAGGUUCUCUUACCCAAUGGGAAAUAAAAGUCUCUGCCAGUGCCCAUUGGGGCUGAGGGCAAGAAUGUAUUUUUUAUAAGGAAUUGGGAAUUUUAGUCUUUUAGGCAAAGUUUAUGAAUGAAGAAAUUAAGGAUGGCCAUAAGUGUAAGGCAUAUGUCACUUGCCUCCGGACACUAGUUCUUUUAUGUUUCAGUCCUAAAAAAUGAAAUGGAAAAAAAAAAAGUCCUGCUAAAUUGGGUCAGAGAUAUCACAAGAGAGUUUUAGAGCUUAUAUUUCCUGUGGCCAGUGCUUGUCCUGGCAGUAAGGAUCUCCCCUGUAACAAGCCAGAGCCCUCCAAUGUACCAGACUCUUCUUACUACAAGGAAUCAACAGGCUGGCAGGUUAGAGUUGGUGGAGUUUGAGGAGAGAUACUUUCUCUCUGUUGCCAACAUCCUGUUUACCAGAAGUGUCACCACACCAUUUUCCAUAAGCUGUGAAACAAAAUCCGUGAGGUCACUUAGAAGGGAAAAAAAGUUUUCUGGGUCUUUGUUUUCUUGGUUUUGUGUCAUUUAUACAGAGGCAUACAAGUUAAUUUUAAGAUGUGGAAUUGGGAGCAAGACUAGUUUGGAUAAAAACUUUGAAAGGUUCCUUGUAGAUCCCUAUUUCUG
Non-coding RNA from Callithrix jacchus (white-tufted-ear marmoset), 1037 nucleotides. The record is from RefSeq and is a predicted model, not a curated record. NCBI's taxonomy places the organism in Eukaryota, Metazoa, Chordata, Mammalia, Primates, Cebidae.